This 492-nucleotide ribosomal RNA is filed under the name uncultured bacterium. RNAcentral's name for it is "partial 16S ribosomal RNA". It matches the Rfam family "Bacterial small subunit ribosomal RNA", at positions 30 to 507 of the family's 1533-position model. The record is from RNAcentral.
AUUGAACGCUGGCGGCAUGCUUUACACAUGCAAGUCGAACGGUAACAGGCCUUCGGGUGCUGACGAGUGGCGAACGGGUGAGUAAUGCAUCGGAACGUGCCCAGAGGUGGGGGAUAACGCAGCGAAAGCUGUGCUAAUACCGCAUGUGAUCUGAGGAUGAAAGCGGGGGACCAGGCAGCAAUGUUUGGCCUCGCGCCUUUGGAGCGGCCGAUGUCAGAUUAGGUAGUUGGUGGGGUAAAGGCCUACCAAGCCGACGAUCUGUAGCUGGUCUGAGAGGACGACCGGCCACCUGGGGACUGGGCCACGCCCCAGACUCCUACGGGAGGCAGCAGUGGGGAAUUUUGGACAAUGGGCGCAAGCCUGAUCCAGCAAUGCCGCGUGCGGGAAGAAGGCCUUCGGGUUGUAAACCGCUUUUGUACGGAACGAAAAGGCUCUGGCUAAUACCUGGGGCUGAUGACGGUACCGUAAGAAUAAGCACCGGCUAACUACGUG